AGCGAAAUUAAUUGUUGGUGAUAAUGCAAGAAAGCCCUGUCGUACCAAUGAUAUUUGAAAAGACUAGCGAAAUUUAUUGUUGGUGAUAAUGCAAGAAGGUAUUGACAUGGGUGUACGGGACCAAAACAUCAGGAUGCGGACACUAUUUUGCUCGACGAAAGCGGAAAUCCUUUACAUGCAGCGUCGUAGUUAGACAUGAAGAAAGACAUGAACUUCUGGGGAGCAUAUUUCCUGACGCCAAGCCACUGAUCUGAUAAUAGACUGGAUCUACA
This is a long non-coding RNA of Xenia sp. Carnegie-2017, 272 nucleotides long. RefSeq lists it as uncharacterized. Lineage: Eukaryota; Metazoa; Cnidaria; Anthozoa; Malacalcyonacea; Xeniidae. The transcript has 3 exons. The record is from RefSeq and is a predicted model, not a curated record.